Molecule: non-coding RNA, 3005 nt
Organism: Tetranychus urticae (two-spotted spider mite)
Lineage: Eukaryota; Metazoa; Arthropoda; Arachnida; Trombidiformes; Tetranychidae
Source: RefSeq, a predicted model, not a curated record
AAUAAUUUUUAAGACACAAACAUUUACGGUGCUUUCAUGAACACAUUGAAAUUUUAUGAUUUAUUAAAUUGUGCAUUCAAUUUGCCAUCAUAAACAUCACCAACAAUCAACAGUUUAAUUGACAGUUAAUCUUUUUCUGCUUCUGCAAGUUCUGAUCAUUUCAUUCUCUAUUUGUUCUGUUUGUGUAUUUGUUGUUUCCAUUUUAGCUUCACUUUUUUCCCUUCUUUUUUUGUCUCGUAAGAUUGUUCAUCUUGAUCAACAACAGCAACAAUUCAAAACCAUCAUUUAUUGGAUUCAUUUGAUUCAGACAGAAUAAAAUGUCUAUUCAUUUUGAACUCUAAUCUUUACCUAAAGAGUCUAUUUUUGUGUCAUCAUUUAACAUUUCCCGAUCAACUCUACAAAAUAUUCUGCGAUUAAAUACAUUGAAAGAAAGGUUUGACUAGUGAUUAUGUUUCCUUACAUUUCUGUAGUGUAUUACCUUUAAAUAAUUUCAGUAGAUAUUGUCAUUCUCAUGACUUUAUACAAAUACACUGUAUACAGAGACAGACAGAGGAUGCAGUUGAAAUUGAAAGGUACAUAAAGAUCUGCAAGGUCCACUCUUAUGAUGAGGAAAAGACCAUUAGUAUUCUUGACUGGACCCUUUAACAUGACAUGACCAUUCAAUCAGUCCUGAUGAACCCCCAGGGAAUUUAACUUACAAUUUAUAUUUAUAACUCCAGGUAUUCCAUUCUCAUCUUUUUCAUUUUAAUUUCUACUCUCCAUGCAUAAUUGUAAUUUCACUGUCAUUUAUAAUAAUUUAUUAUAAUUUGAGACAGACAUUCACAAUAAUGUUUGCAGAUAAAAAUAAUGAUUUGGUUACAAGGUAAACAUUUGAAAUGUUUUCAGGAUAAAAUGGAUCAAAAAUGACUUGCAAAUAGACAAAAUAAAUGUGUAACUAUUCACAAAAGUCAAAAAGAUAAGUUGACAAGGCUUUCAUUUUAUCCAUGGAGACAAAACCUUCCAUGAAAAUUUCAAAUUUUACCCUCAAAAAAAGUCAAAAACUGCUAGAUCAGGGUAACACUUUAACUUUUUUGUGCCUAUCAUUCAUCUCGCCCUAUUACUGUUAUUGUUUCAAUAUUUUUACUCUCAGAAUAUAUUUUUAUACGAAACUCGGGAAAUCUGGUCAUAAGAAUGAUUGGUCAUCCAUUGAUGAAUGUUGAAUUGAGAAAUUGCCUUUUAAAGCCAAAUAGAUGUAAAAAUAUAUCAAAAAAAAUCAUCAAUCUAUCUGUUCUCAUUAUUUUUGACUCAACAUUUGAUUGAACCAAAUCUAAAAGGAUCAGAUAUAAUAUCCAGGUUAACUGAAUGGCACUUUGCUCGGAUAAACUUGCAUCUUCUGUGAAUCAUUGUCGUUAUUGCCAUUAUUUCAAAUCAGAUGAAUGAUAACUGAACAAGAAACGGAUAAAAUCGGAAACAAUUUCAAUCAUUUGGUUCAAUCGUUCAAUAACAGAUUAUCAAGUGUCUCUGAUUGCAAAAAGUCUCAUCGAUUAGCUUCUUUGUCAAUGUUUAACAAUGAAAUUACAUUCAAUGUGUGAUAUUGACCUUUCAACUUUCCAUUUCAUUCAACACUUUGACCCAACAAAUUGCCAGAUAAUUAUUGAAGUGAUGAUUGUUCAUUUGAUUGUCAAUAUGAACAAAAAUCAAUAUUGACAGUAAAUUUCGCAUUCGAUUGUCUUUCAGUGAAUUUAGGUUAAAAUGAAAACAAUUUGUGCGUUACCUUGUGCAGCACUUUUACCAAUGUUCAUUGUUAAUUAUUUCUUCUUCUCGCACUAUUAUCAUAUUAAUUUGGUUAAUCAUUAGUCAACGAAAAACGUAAAAAAAUUAAUUAUCUCUUUCUCCGAGUUUUCAGCUCAGAUGAUUAUAAAUGUGUCUAUACAAUGACAAUUUGUAUUAUUCUCAUCAUUAAUAGCCUUUUCUCAUGUGCUCAUCUCAUCGUUACUAUUAUUAUCAUUAUUAUUAUACCCAUUAUCAUUGACAUUGUCGUAUUUUUUGCAUUCACUUUCACCAAUUUAUAUUCACCUAACAUAAUGUUAAACCUGAAAAUUGAUAUUCUCUAUGAACUUUCUCGUUCUCUGCUUACCUCAACAUUAUAAUAUUUUCAUAUUUACUACAUUGUCAUGAUUUAAUACCCAAUCCUUUGCCUUUCUGCUUCGUCUCAUUUUUCAUCACUUAACCAUUCUCGUCAAUCCAUAGACCAAACCAUCAAAUUAUCAUUCAUGUAAUUCAAAUCACAGUUACCAAAGUGAUUUAAAGUGUACAGAUUUUUGAUGAAAUUCAUAACCAAAUAACUAUAAAUACAUUUUGACAAACAAACCAAAAGUCAAGGAUAACCCAAGAAUCAAAUUUCAAUGGGAAACAUCCAUUAACUGAUAAUUAACAAUAACAAAUGCUCAAGAAAACUCAGCGAGAGAAAAAAUCGAUUCAUGAACAUUAAAAUCCAAGAGAUUGAAUUGCUUUAAACUACUGACAAAGACUCAAGACAAACAGUGAAAACAAUUAGUCUUUGAAUGGUUCAUUAGUUGAUCAAUUUAAUAUAAUUAUUUGAAAUUCAGUUCAAGAAGCUGCGUCUAUUUGAAUGAUUGUUCAUUGUCAACUUCCUACACAAUUUACCUUCAAAAACCAUUUUUCACAUUGAAUAAUUGCUAACAUUUGUAAUGAUGAAAAGGUUAAACGUUUCCGUAACAAUCAAAAUAAUUUUGUAAUGAAAUCCAAUUGUUCAAGUAAAGGCAAAACUUUUGAUUAAUUGGUUAAACUGAUUCAAUAUCUUCAUCAAACUGCAAUUCAAAUUGAUCAAAUGGUUAACCUUUUGACAAAAAUGGUAAACACUGAUCAUUGUGAUUUGAAUAGUGAUUUGGAGGUUGAUUAAUAAAUGUUGCUUUUCAUGGUUACCUUUCAUUUACCAUUUAAUUGUAACAUAAUGGUAAUAAUGAUGAAAAUGUCCCAAUUUAAAAGGUGAAAUUGCAAUUAAA